RNAcentral lists this ribosomal RNA (414 nucleotides) under uncultured bacterium. Its description in RNAcentral is "bacterial SSU rRNA". It matches the Rfam family "Bacterial small subunit ribosomal RNA", at positions 917 to 1333 of the family's 1533-position model. The record is from RNAcentral.
GGGCCCGCACAAGCGGUGGAGCAUGUGGUUUAAUUCGAUGAUACGCGAGGAACCUUACCAGGGCUUAAAUGUAGUUUGACCGGUCUGGAAACAGACUUUCUCUUCGGAGCAGAUUACAAGGUGCUGCAUGGUUGUCGUCAGCUCGUGCCGUGAGGUGUUAGGUUAAGUCCUGCAACGAGCGCAACCCCUAUUCUUAGUUGCCAGCGGUUCGGCCGGGGACUCUAAGAAGACUGCCAGCGCAAGCUGAGAGGAAGGUGGGGAUGACGUCAAAUCAUCACGGCCCUUACGUCCUGGGCUACACACGUGCUACAAUGGUAGAGACAGAGGGCAGCCACCUGGUGACAGGGAGCGAAUCCUUAAACUCUAUCUCAGUUCGGAUCGAAGUCUGCAACUCGACUUCGUGAAGCUGGAAUC